AAUAGGAAUAAUGGGGAUGAAUAGAUGUCUUGUAUAAGGAUUUUUCCUAGUUUUUGGACUUCUUUUGGAGUGGGUAUUACUACCAAGUGGUGGUUUUUAAAACAAAUUUAUGCUGUUGUGCAAAACUGUUUUUAUUUGCAUAGUCGUAACGACUGUUACAACCGGUAUAAAAUGAAUACAGUAAGAAUUCUUCACACACUUUAAUACCGGUACAGAGCCGAAAUCACUUUUGUCGCAGCAUAAUGUAUUAUUUACCGCUCAUUGCUGACGGUGCAGCGGUUGGCACUACCUGCCUUGUGUGCAUUGAGAUUGAGUCGUGGUUAUAACUUUAUAACAACCAUGUCAAACACCAGGGCACAAAAGUUGGUGACGCAUAAACAAUUUGGACACUACUAAAUGAAGCUUAGGCGAAAAUUCAGUCAGGAAGACUGGACAGGCUGUGCCGUUCCCUGGUGGCCUCCUCUCUCCCUGGGGGCGCACGGCCAGCUGAUUAGGGGCGGGGUCGGGUAGUAUCAGACGUGGGUGUCGUUACCGUAAACCAAUCGCAUUGGGGCAGGCAACGUUAAAAAAACUGUUCUCUCUUUUGCUGUCAGUUGUCAUUUCAGCACGCUCCAAAGGUGACCCGCCACCACCCCUGACACCUCCAAUCUACAGCAGAACCGGGCAUAGCUGGAGAGUUAUGCAACUUGGGCUCUACCACCACCACCACCAGUGUCUGGACUCCCAAGGGGGGGAUAUGCCUCGUCUCGGCUCGAGAUCCCGGACCCGGGUCUGUCCUGCGGCAGGAUGGAGUCCAAGCCCCAAACAACUUGCAAUAUCAUAUUAUACCUGUUAUAAUAAAGAAUUGUCUCUCCGGAUUGAAUUGUACAUUUAUAAAAAUUACAAAAUUAUUAUAAAAUUACCCCGAACAGCAUGCUGGGUGCAGCUCGCCCAACAUUACAAGAAGAAACUCAGUAAAUACAUGAAAACACGGAAAAAAAGCGAUGCAGAAGGAAUCAACAAGAGACCAGUGAUGCGCAAACAUAGCGUGUGCCCAAGAGAAGAGCUGUGUCUGUUUUGAGGGUUUGGGAUUUUGGAAAGUCCAACGUAAUUAGAUGAGAAUACUUUUUCUUGCUGGAUGUUACGCAGAGAUUCUUUAGUUCAGAUUUAACUUAACUGCAAAUUCUAGACUUUUUUUAACCCAUAAUCAACCACAUUUGAUACCUAAAAUGUUUAUUUAGAGGGAGCAAAUGGCAAAAUCUAAUCUUGAAAUGAAUGUAUGAAUGUACCAAGAACUGAGCAAAUAAUCAUGGUCAACAUCCACUUACUAACCUUUCAGGGGAUUUUCCUUUGCAUCGUAUGGUAACAUUACAACUACUCCAAGCAAUCUGUCUGCAGGAAAUUCAAACCUUACUUUGUGAACAAAUGGAUGGCGGUCAGUGAAACCCGUCCAAAACUGGUGUCCAAAACAUCCCAUCCAUUCACUCUUUUAUCCUUUAGAGGAUUCCGAUCCAGGCAUACUGGAACUGAUUGCUCACCAAGCUCGAUGUCUCACCUCCUGUUGCUGCUGCUCAUCCACAUUACCCUUCUGUUUCCAAGGACCAGCGAGCGCUUAGAGUGUCCAUUAUGCUGUCUUUGGGGACACGGCUCUGUCGAAGCCGUGAACAUUUGAUGGGCACAUUAGCGCAAGGCAACACGUCAUUACAUGACCAUUUACACAUAAUCACCCACUUAGGAAGACCCCAUAGGACAGAACCGCGUAGCACGGGCCAUUUACACACCCUGUGUGUGUCCGCGCUGGUGCACGGAUGGGGACGUAUGCGUGCGUAUGGGGAUGCGUGUUUGCGCAUAUGUUCUGGCCUAAUAGUCCAUCUGACACAUGCCUUAUGGUGAUGUUCAGAAAUAACCAUCAAAAUGACCAAUGUGCUUCCUCUUUCAUGGCAACACACUCCGAAGCUGUUCUGUCUUUCUGUCGCCUGCCUUGCUGGAUCACACACACACUCUCCCCCCCUCUUUCUCUCAUAGGACAUUACUGUCCCAGGUGGAGAGAUUGAGAAGCUCUUUUUCUCUUUUACUAUUUCUCAUCGCUUCUGUUGUCCGUAUGCAUGUUUGCUGCACUUACCAGCAAAGGGGAUGAGUGCAGUAAGCCACUCUGAGAUGAUACGCCACGCUCUUCGCAAUCCAUUGCUAUUUGGCAUAGGGAAGAAAGGCGAAAAUAACCCUGCUGAGAAAUGCGGAGAGGACAGGAAAAGCAUACAUUUUGUGCUGAUAUCUUAAUUUACAAAUAUUACCGGGUAUAUCUAGUCCAUGUUUCAAAAACACAAAUAUUGACUAUUUGUAAAAUGUUUUUUUUCUUCUUCGCUCAUGGUGGGGCCACGCCCCAUUGCCCUCAAUAGACCAGCCGCUUCUGGUUAUGACUAUAACAACAAAUAAUAACCCACAAGUAAUGCUUUUUUACCGGGUAAAACAUCACAACACAACAGUUUGUGGACAGAAACAAUUUGUUUCACUAAUAACAGUAUGAGUAAGAUUACCCAGCUGAAGUCAAUGCUGAUUAAUGCUCGCCAUCAAGAAGAAACCCCAUUGCUACAUGAAAAAGAGCUUUUUGGUUUUGAUCCAACGUAAGUUAGAUCGGGAAA
Molecule: long non-coding RNA, 2618 nt
Organism: Gasterosteus aculeatus aculeatus (three-spined stickleback)
Lineage: Eukaryota; Metazoa; Chordata; Actinopteri; Perciformes; Gasterosteidae
Source: Ensembl